RNAcentral lists this ribosomal RNA (253 nucleotides) under uncultured bacterium. RNAcentral's name for it is "partial 16S ribosomal RNA". It matches the Rfam family "Bacterial small subunit ribosomal RNA", at positions 524 to 776 of the family's 1533-position model. The record is from RNAcentral.
UACGGAGGGUGCAAACGUUGCUCGGAAUCAUUGGGCGUAAAGCGCACGUAGGUGGUCCGGUAAGUCGGGAGUGAAAGCCCUCGGCUUAACCGAGGAAGUGCUUUCGAAACUACCGGACUUGAAUACUGGAGAGGGUCGCGGAAUUCCCGGUGUAGAGGUGAAAUUCGUAGAUAUCGGGAGGAACACCAGUGGCGAAGGCGGCGACCUGGACAGAUAUUGACACUGAGGUGCGAAAGCGUGGGGAGCAAACAGG